GUGUCAGCCGCCGCGGUAAUACAGAGGGUGCGAGCGUUAAUCGGAAUUACUGGGCGUAAAGCGUGCGUAGACGGUUACGUAAGUCGGGUGUGAAAGCCCCGGGCUCAACCUGGGAAUUGCAUUCGAGACUGCGCAGCUAGGGUGCGGAAGAGGGAAGCGGAAUUUCCGGUGUAGCGGUGAAAUGCGUAGAUAUCGGAAGGAACAUCAGUGGCGAAAGCGGCUUCCUGGUCCAGCACCGACGUUCAGGCACGAAAGCGUGGGGAGCAAACAGGAUUAGAUACCCUCGUAGUCC
This 292-nucleotide ribosomal RNA is filed under the name uncultured bacterium. RNAcentral describes it as "partial 16S ribosomal RNA". It matches the Rfam family "Bacterial small subunit ribosomal RNA", at positions 505 to 796 of the family's 1533-position model. The record is from RNAcentral.